AAAACACAAAGUCACAAAUGGGCAAAUAAAUUAGGAGUGGGGAAGGAGAAGGGUUAGGUUGGGGGGGAAUUACUGAUAGAAGCAGAAGAGAAGGAACUUGAGAAGAGCCGGAGGGGGAGACUGAGACCUACUGGAAGUUGUGGGCAUGAGGUGUUUGGCAAGAAAAUGGAUCUUUUCCUUGUGAUGAUUUCUUACCAAUACCUCUCAUGCCAAUGAUUUCCAGCAGUUCCUCCCUUUCCCUUCUUUCUCCACUUUGUUAUCAGAUGCCACCUCUUCGCUUUUCAUGGAGUGUUAUAAGAGCCGACUCGAGCUGGCGGGUCAAUUCGGUAACCCAUUGAUUCGGGACUUGAUCCGAGGUGAUUCGGGACUCGAACUUGCGGGUCCUCCUUCCCUUCUCUCAUCCAGCUUCCCCUUCAGCUCUUCAUGUUCUCUCCUCUCUUGUUUUGUCGCUUCCUUUUCCUCUAUGGUUGACGUUUUCCUUGCGACAAGAAUGAACGUCGUCUGAGCAUGCCUUACAAUCCAGAACAAGUUAGAGAUGUAGUUCUUUUCCUGCAAAUAAAAACUAGAUUUUGUUGGCAA
Long non-coding RNA from Populus nigra (black poplar), 579 nucleotides. RefSeq lists it as uncharacterized. The transcript is spliced from 2 exons. NCBI's taxonomy places the organism in Eukaryota, Viridiplantae, Streptophyta, Magnoliopsida, Malpighiales, Salicaceae. The record is from RefSeq and is a predicted model, not a curated record.